AGGAUGAACGCUGGCGGUGUGCCUAAUACAUGCAAGUCGAACGGGCUCUUCGGAGCUAGUGGCGGACGGGUGAGUAACACGUUGGUACCUACCCUCAAGUGGGGAAUAACUGGCCGAAAGGUCGGCUAAUACCGCAUAUUGCCGAAAGGUGAAAGCAGUAAUGCGCUUGAGGAGGGGCCUGCGUCUGAUUAGCUAGUUGGCGGGGUAAAUGCCCACCAAGGCGACGAUCAGUAGCUGGAUCGAGAGGUUGACCAGCCACACUGGGACUGAGAUACGGCCCAGACUCCUACGGGAGGCAGCAGUAAGGAUCUUCCACAAUGGACGAAAGUCUGAUGGAGCAACACCGCGUGCAGGAUGACGGCCUUCGGGUUGUAAACUGCUUUUAUAUGGGAAGAUUAUGACGGUACCAUAUGAAUAAGGACCGGCUAACUACGCGCCAGCAGCCGC
This 447-nucleotide ribosomal RNA is filed under the name uncultured bacterium. RNAcentral describes it as "SSU rRNA". It matches the Rfam family "Bacterial small subunit ribosomal RNA", at positions 26 to 518 of the family's 1533-position model. The record is from RNAcentral.